UAGUCACUCCCUCUCUCACUCUGUCACUAGUCACCCCCUCUCUCACUCUGUCACUAAUGACAGAGUGAGAGAGGGGGUGAUUAGUGACAGAGUGAGGUAGGGGGUGAC
Molecule: microRNA precursor, 108 nt
Filed under: Pelobates cultripes (western spadefoot toad)
Lineage: Eukaryota; Metazoa; Chordata; Amphibia; Anura; Pelobatidae
Source: RNAcentral